GAUGAACGCUGGCUGUGUGCCUAAUACAUGCAUGUCGAACGAAGCACUUGUGCUUAGUGGCGAAUGGGUGAGUAACACGUACUUAAUCUACCUCUAGGUUUGGGACAACAUUUAGAAAUGAAUGCUAAUACCGAAUAUUCCUUUUCCUCGCAUGGGGAACUGGUAAAAGGCCCGUUUGGGUCGCCAAGAGAUGAGAGUGCGGUACAUUAGUUAGUUGGUAGGGUAAUGGCCUACCAAGACGAUGAUGUAUAGCGGGGUUGAGAAGCUGAACCGCCACACUGGGACUGAGAUACGGCCCAGACUCCUACGGGAGGCAGCAGUAGGGAAUAUUCCACAAUGAGCGAAAGCUUGAUGGAGCGACACAGCGUGCAGGAUGAAGGCCUUCGGUGUUAAGUAACUCGUCGUUGUUAAGGUAAGGAAAACGAAACGUGUAGGAAAUGACAUCGGCUUGACGGUACCUUGUCAGAAAGCACCGGCAAACUAUGUGCCAGCCGCCGCCGUAC
This 503-nucleotide ribosomal RNA is filed under the name uncultured bacterium. Its description in RNAcentral is "bacterial SSU rRNA". It matches the Rfam family "Bacterial small subunit ribosomal RNA", at positions 28 to 523 of the family's 1533-position model. The record is from RNAcentral.